This 362-nucleotide long non-coding RNA is filed under the name Arachis ipaensis. RNAcentral's name for it is "long non-coding RNA (AIPA_LNC001938)". The record is from RNAcentral. Lineage: Eukaryota; Viridiplantae; Streptophyta; Magnoliopsida; Fabales; Fabaceae.
CCGCGUGGACCUUCCGUCCGGCGCCGGAAUUUUUUCCGACAGGUCUCUCCGGUCUCCAGCGUAUGAAAUCGGUGCUGCAAACCCACGUCUCCUUCGAUACCUCCAUUGAAAGCUUCGGCUCGCACAUCAUCAGAAGCAAGCAUUCCGGUAACGUUUCUUCCUUUUCUCUUUCUAAUUCUGCUUCUUUCUCCUCGCCGUUUGACCCGAUUUUUCGCUCCUCUGACCCGAGUCCGUUGUUUGGCUCAGAUGCUUCGUUCGCCGGAGGUGUUACUUCCGGCAGUUGCGGCGGCGGUGUUUCUGCGGCCACGUUCUGUUGUUGCUCCUCUUCUGUUGAAGCUUCUUCAUCUGUUAAUGGUUCAGGC